This 1385-nucleotide long non-coding RNA is filed under the name Salmo salar (Atlantic salmon). RNAcentral describes it as "lncRNA (ENSSSAG00000103205.1)". The record is from RNAcentral. Lineage: Eukaryota; Metazoa; Chordata; Actinopteri; Salmoniformes; Salmonidae.
AGCGGUUGUUAUUGAGCGUCUCGGUCCAGUCUAGCUGUUCUCAUCCGGACACCCAUGAGACUCAGGCAGGCACCGUAAAAGCUUUACAGUGGGCUAGAAGGCUAUCUACAGAACUUCUGAUGGUGACGACACUCGGCGGGGCAAUUGUAGGAUUGUAAACAGUGCGCUUUUAGACAGUGUUCUUAAAUGGAUGGAGACGUCAUGGACCUCAGAGGAACACAAUAACAUUUGGAAAGUUUCACCAAAUGCCCUCUUGGUACUCAGAUGACUUUUUAAUCUAGGCGGCAAUUCUGAUUUCGUUUUCACAUUUUCAGAUUUCGUUUUUUUUUAUGAUUCCAUUGUGCCACAGAGAGAAUGACCGCUUUCACCCCGUGCAUAAAUUAACUGAAUUAUUGUACGAGCUACUGCGUGGAGACAAGUUAAUGUUUAACUUCUGAGUUCUUAGAUUUCUUGGUGGGGGGCCAACGCGAACUGGAAAUGGGAGCGUGCCUUUGCUGUGCCUUGUAAGUUUUUACAGCCUGGUGCCAAGGGACAACAACAACAACAACAUGGGUAGCGGUAGUAGUCGAGGAAAGAAGGUUGCUCCUUCCAGUGUCAACGAGAUAAACUCAUUCAGAAGAGAUGACAACACAGUCCACGUUUUGAAAGAGGAAAGACACUUGUUCAAACCAUUGAAAAUAACCAAAUCUACGAAUUUAAGUCAGUCACGAAAUAGAGCGCAACACGACUGCCACAGUGAAGGACACGAUUCUGAAUUUUCCGUAGAGGAUGAUGACAUUGAUGUGGAACUGAAUCGAGUUCUACAGGAAUAUGACAAUCGGGAAUUGCGUUCCAAGAGGAAAACGUAUCAAACGAAACCUUUCAUCAGGUCUAAUACAUAUGGGUUAUGUCAUUCCAGUCGAGUCCACAAUGAAAGCGUUUUCAAUUCAACCCCACACUGGCAGAGUUCUGAAUUGUCGGAGGGGAGUGGGGCAUGUUGUCCAGAUAACGGUUCUGUUGGAGUCAAGGACAAGAAAGGCAUCCCAGUCUUCAACCAGUUUUGCAAAAAUACACAAAUUCAGUUCUCAAGCGGCGCUCAGGAAAAUGACUUGUUGACAACGGGGUCAGCUUGUGUGGAGUCAGUGCCUCGAGCAGAAACAGACUCCCUCCUCUUCACCCAUCUCCUCCUGACCACAGCUGUCAGCGUGCUACAGAACACUGUACAGGAAAUGACAUGGCUGCCAUCAGGAGGCGGCACUCCACGUGCUCACUCGUCAGGGACACCCGAGGAAGUGGAAGAACUGGUGCCCGUGGCCGAUCACGCCCUGGGAAGGAACACUCAGAAAUGGAGAGGAAAAGCAGAACGCUGCCAAGUGGAACAGCAACACCUGUGUGUGAUAUCAGUG